This 397-nucleotide ribosomal RNA is filed under the name uncultured bacterium. Its description in RNAcentral is "partial 16S ribosomal RNA". It matches the Rfam family "Bacterial small subunit ribosomal RNA", at positions 523 to 918 of the family's 1533-position model. The record is from RNAcentral.
AUACGUAGGGGGCAAGCGUUAUCCGGAUUUACUGGGUGUAAAGGGAGCGUAGACGGAAGGCCAAGUCUGAUGUGAAAGCCCGCGGCUCAACUGCGGGACUGCAUUGGAAACUGGUCAUCUGGAGUGCAGGAGGGGUAAGCGGAAUUCCUAGUGUAGCGGUGAAAUGCGUAGAUAUUAGGAGGAACACCGGUGGCGAAGGCGUCUUACUGGACUGUAACGGACGUUGAGGCUCGAAAGCGUGGGGAGCAAACAGGAUUAGAUUCCCUGUUAGUCCACGCCGUAAACGAUGAAUACUAGGUGUCGGGUUUCUAUAGAGAUUCGGUGCCGCAGCAAACGCAAUAAGUAUUCCACCUGGGGAGUACGUUCGCAAGAAUGAAACUCAAAGGAAUUGACGGGG